RNAcentral lists this ribosomal RNA (233 nucleotides) under uncultured bacterium. RNAcentral describes it as "partial 16S ribosomal RNA". It matches the Rfam family "Bacterial small subunit ribosomal RNA", at positions 794 to 1027 of the family's 1533-position model. The record is from RNAcentral.
UCCACGCCGUAAACGUUGUACACUUGGUGUUGGGAGAUUUGACCCUCUCAGUGCCGUAGCUAACGCGAUAAGUGUACCGCCUGGGGAGUACGAUCGCAAGAUUAAAACUCAAAGGAAUUGACGGGGACCCGCACAAGCGGUGGAGCAUGUGGCUUAAUUCGAGGCAACGCGAAGAACCUUACCUAGAUUUGACAUUGAUUGAUCGCUGUAGAAAUACAGUUUUCCUUCGGGAC